GUUGCUGGGACGUUCCCCUGUUGUUCCCCCAGCUGUCCCCUUGCCUCAGCCUGGAUUCCCCUUGCGUUCCUGUAGGAUUCCCUUCCAUCCCCCUGGCUGCCCCUUGCUUUCCCCAAGGUUGCCCUUUCCUUUCUCAUGUCAGCCCACCCAUCAUUCCCUCAGAGCCCCAAUAUCCCUCCCAGUGUUUCCCAGCAAGACCCUAGAGACACCCUGUAGCCACCCACAGAGCCCUGGAGCCCCUCAAGAACCCCCUCAGACCCAGUACACCUCCCCCGUAGCUGGCCCAUAGCCACAUGGAGCCCCACAGUCCCCAGCAGCACCCUAUGUACCCUACUGAGCUGCCACAGAACACCC
This 354-nucleotide long non-coding RNA is filed under the name Gallus gallus (chicken). RNAcentral's name for it is "lncRNA (ENSGALG00010028958.1)". The record is from RNAcentral. Lineage: Eukaryota; Metazoa; Chordata; Aves; Galliformes; Phasianidae.